UCGUCGACGAUCGUCGGCGAGAUGAAGUGGAUGUGCGUGUCGAUGCCGCCGGCCGUGAGGAUCUUGCCGUUGCCCGCGAGGAUCUCGGUCUCCGGGCCGAUGACCAGGUCGGGGUGGACGCCGUCCAUCGUGUCCGGGUUGCCGGCCUUGCCGAUGCCGGUGAUCCUGCCGUCGCGGAUGCCGACGUCCGCCUUGACCACACCCCAGUGGUCGAUGAUCACGGCGCCGGUGAUCACGGUGUCGGGCGCGCCUUCGGCCCGUGUCGUACGGGACUGCCCCAUCGACUCGCGG
Molecule: small RNA, 291 nt
Organism: Streptomyces silvensis
Lineage: Bacteria; Bacillati; Actinomycetota; Actinomycetes; Kitasatosporales; Streptomycetaceae
Rfam family: 5' ureB small RNA
Source: Rfam